This 448-nucleotide ribosomal RNA is filed under the name uncultured bacterium. RNAcentral describes it as "bacterial SSU rRNA". It matches the Rfam family "Bacterial small subunit ribosomal RNA", at positions 29 to 521 of the family's 1533-position model. The record is from RNAcentral.
AACGAACGCUGGCGGCAUGCCUAACACAUGCAAGUCGAACGAAGGCUUCGGCCUUAGUGGCGCACGGGUGCGUAACGCGUGGGAAUCUGCCCUCUGGUACGGAAUAACUCAGGGAAACUUGAGCUAAUACCGUAUGAUGUCUUCGGACCAAAGAUUUAUCGCCUGAGGAUGAGCCCGCGUAGGAUUAGCUUGUUGGUGGGGUAAAGGCUCACCAAGGCGACGAUCCUUAGCUGGUCUGAGAGGAUGAUCAGCCACACUGGGACUGAGACACGGCCCAGACUCCUACGGGAGGCAGCAGUGGGGAAUAAUUGGACAAUGGGCGAAAGCCUGAUCCAGCAAUGCCGCGUGAGUGAUGAAGGCCUUAGGGUUGUAAAGCUCUUUUACCCGGGAUGAUAAUGACAGUACCGGGAGAAUAAGCUCCGGCUAACUCCGUGCCAGCCGCCGCUGU